This is a long non-coding RNA of Rosa chinensis, 986 nucleotides long. RefSeq lists it as uncharacterized. NCBI's taxonomy places the organism in Eukaryota, Viridiplantae, Streptophyta, Magnoliopsida, Rosales, Rosaceae. The record is from RefSeq and is a predicted model, not a curated record. The transcript has 2 exons.
ACUUAGCAGCCGCGUCUGAGUCUUCGACCUAAUGUCCUAAACUCCUAAUCUUAGCAGCCGCCUCUCUCUUCUUCUCCAAUAUCCAAGGUUGUUAUUGAUUUCGGUUUGAGUUCUACAUCAACCCUUCCAGAAGACUUCAGACAGCGAUCACUAGCGCCAAGGAGCAGCUCAUCAGUGCCGAUCCUCAGCCUGGCUACUUCAAUCCCGGCAAGCCCAUCACCGUCGACGUCGUAAUCUGGACACAAGGCUUAGCUCCUAGUUAGCGCAUCUGGGCAACCAGAAAUUCAAUCUGCACACUCUUUAUUUCGAUCAUCCUGCACAUUUUCUUUACUAAGGUUCUAACCAUAUUUUAUCCUGCUUAUGAUAUUCUUGCAGAGUUGUAAAACUAACUGAAGAAGGUUAUGUCUCAAUGAAAAAACUUUCGCCGAAAAAGUCUAGGAAGGUUCCUUGAUUGCUUGCCAUGAAAAAGUCUAUCGCUCCUCUUGAUAUUAGUGCCUCAGUCCAAUUUCAAUUUCAAUUAUAAGGCUUGAUCAGUGAGAAUGUGAAUUUGUGUUUAUGUGGGAUUUGUAAUUAACUCAGGUUCUGAAAUCUCAAAAUAUUCGGAUUUUAUUUUUACUUUUUUAGGUAGCAAAAUUUGGUUUAAUGUGUACAAAAACCCGGCCCGGCCCUUUUGGCCCUUUCGGAAUGGGCCUUAAGGGCGGGUAAGGGCUUGCAUUUUGAGGUCUCGGCCUGGGCCUUAAUUCUGUUGACUAAGUCAAAGCUCGGCCCGGCCCGGCCCGGCCCUACCCUAAGUCCUAAAAUUUAGGGUAGGGCUGGCCCUAGCUCGGCCCAUGAUGAGGCUUACAUGGACAUUUUUAUUAGGAAAAUGAAGUGACAAAAUGCACAAAGAGGACAAAGAACAAACAAUUGUUUAUAGAAACUGAUGUGUAGAAAAGUAUUAGACAUCAUUUUUGAAAUAACAAUCGAUGUAAAUGUCCAUUUAGAUA